RNA transcript from Musa acuminata subsp. malaccensis (wild Malaysian banana), 2025 nucleotides. It is a transcript of the gene named pre-mRNA splicing factor SR-like 1, with no coding region annotated. NCBI's taxonomy places the organism in Eukaryota, Viridiplantae, Streptophyta, Magnoliopsida, Zingiberales, Musaceae. The record is from RefSeq and is a predicted model, not a curated record.
CUCCCGAUCUGGUCACGCCACCAUCGGUCGCUCUCUCAAUCAAUCCCUGGCCGCGAGUAGCAUCCGCUCCCCUUUUCCAUCCCGCCGACUGCGCCGCCACCCCAUUCCGUACAUCCUCCUCCUCCAUCAUCGGCGGCGGUGGCUUGGUUUUUCCCUCGCUUGGUCGGCGCGUUCUCCAAUCGCUCGACCUCUUUCCCUCUUUUCGAAGGGCCCAGGAUCCGAAGAAAGAAACCCUAAAUCCGAAGCCAAUCCAAGAACCGACGGGAUCAGGCAAACGCAAGAGGCGCGGAGGGACUCCCUCCGGUCCUUCCUCUUAGGUUGUAUCAGCAGUUGUAUUGCUGAAAGCAUUUAGAGCUUGUUUAUCUUGGGUGAUAAGAGGUCUCCGUCUAAGUAGUUUACGUGAAAUGGAGAUACAAACAUCUGGCAAACCUAUUGAUAGUUUGCUAGAGAAGGUUCUUUCAAUGAACAUUCUAUCUUCAGAUUAUUUCAAAGAACUUUACAGAUUGAAGACUUACCAUGAAGUUAUAGAUGAGAUCUACAACCAAGUUGAUCAUGUGGAACCAUGGAUGACUGGAAAUUGCAGAGGUCCUUCCACAGCAUUUUGUCUCCUGUACAAGUUCUUCACAAUGAAACUCACUGUCAAGCAAAUGCAUGGACUUUUGAAGCAUCCUGAUUCUCCUUAUAUUAGAGCUAUUGGUUUCCUCUACCUGCGCUAUGUUGCAGAUCCAAAGACAUUAUGGACUUGGUAUGAGCCAUACAUCAAGGAUGAUGAGGAAUUCUCUCCUGGUUCUAAUGGUCGACUUACGACAAUGGGGGUAUAUGUGCGUGAUCUUCUUCUUGGUCAGCUGAAAGGUAAUUCAUUUUGGUAAAUGUCCCACCUGUUCAUAUGAGAUUCUGGGCUUGCAUUUCCUAAUGGAGUAUUCCUUGAGAGAUCAGUACAUCACAUCUUUAUCAACAAUUAAGUUCAAGUACUACUUUGACACACUUUUCCCACGUGUCCCUGUUCCCGUUGUGCGCCAAAUUGUUGCUAACCUGGAGAAACUGAAGCUCCCCACCAAGCAUUGUGGUGUCACUGGAGAAACUAGUCGGCAGGGCUCAGAUGAUAUUGCCCGUCGCCCUCCUUCAGUAAAAGCUGCUUUGUCAGUCUCAUUUGGUCAGCGUGCUCCACACCGUGCAUCCACCAGGGACUCUUCGCCGGUCAGAAGGAACUUAGGUCCCAUACACGAAAGGAGUGAUGGUGAUGACCAUCGAAGAUCAUCUCCUAGCAUUCGUCGCAGUAGUAGCCGUGACCGACAUGACCGUGAUCGCUCAGAUCGUGACCGUGACCAUGAUCGAGAUCAUCGUGAUCGAGACCGUCGAGACCAUCACCGUGAUCGAGACCACUCAGAACGUGACCGGGGAAGGGACUCUGAGCGAAGGCAUGAACAUGAGCGGCGUGGUGAUCGUGAUAGAGAUUCCCAUCGAUCCAAGCACUCAGAGAGGGAUUCUGGGAGAAGGGACCAUGAAAGGAGUGGGCGAGAUGCUGAUGAGUAUAGACACUCCAACUCGAGACGAAGCAGAAGUAGAAGUAGGAGCAGGAGUCGUAGCAUCCAUACCCGUGGUGCAGAUCGCCCUAGUCCUUUCGGAGAUGAAAAUAAAGAGAAGACAAAGGCUGUUUCAAGCAAUCUGGCAAAGUUGAAAGAUUUAUAUGGUGAUGGAAGUGACAAGAAAAGCAAUGAAGCUGCCGAUAGGCUGCGCAAAGAUACCAGCACUGAAGAGGUUAUCAGACUUGGGGGUUCCACAUGGAGAUGAAGCCAAUUGAAUUUGAUUUGGAAUGAUGUUAUUUUGUAAUAUCUACUUGGGGUAUUAUAGUAAACACAUUUUGGAAUUAGUUGUUGGAAACUAAAUCACCUUGGGGAUGAAAUCUGAGACUUCCCUAUGUUGGUCUUCUUCGGACUAAUCUAUUAGUGCCUGCCUGCCUUUUCCAGGAGAAACAUGCAUGAUGCAAGAAAUGUAUGAUUGAAAUUAAGAUUUAUAUUUGUUUUA